UACAGAGGUCUCAAGCGUUGUUCGGAUUCAUUGGGCGUAGAGGGUGCGUAGGUGGCGGGGCAAGUCUGGUGUGAAAUCCCGGGGCUCAACCCCGGAACUGCACUGGAUACUGCUUUGCUAGAGCACUGGAGAGGGAACUGGAAUUUACGGUGUAGCAGUGAAAUGCGUAGAUAUCGUAAGGAAGACCAGUGGCGAAGGCGAGUUCCUGGACAGUUGCUGACACUGAGGCACGAAAGCUAGGGGAGCGAAUGGG
Molecule: ribosomal RNA, 253 nt
Filed under: uncultured bacterium
Lineage: Bacteria
Description: partial 16S ribosomal RNA
Rfam family: Bacterial small subunit ribosomal RNA
Source: RNAcentral